CCUACGGGUGGCUGCAGUGGGGAAUAUUGCACAAUGGGCGCAAGCCUGAUGCAGCCAUGCCGCGUGUGUGAAGAAGGCCUUCGGGUUGUAAAGCACUUUCAGCGGGGAGGAAGGCGGUGAGGUUAAUAACCUCAUCGAUUGACGUUACCCGCAGAAGAAGCACCGGCUAACUCCGUGCCAGCAGCCGCGGUAAUACGGAGGGUGCAAGCGUUAAUCGGAAUUACUGGGCGUAAAGCGCACGCAGGCGGUCUGUCAAGUCGGAUGUGAAAUCCCCGGGCUCAACCUGGGAACUGCAUUCGAAACUGGCAGGCUAGAGUCUUGUAGAGGGGGGUAGAAUUCCAGGUGUAGCGGUGAAAUGCGUAGAGAUCUGGAGGAAUACCGGUGGCGAAGGCGGCCCCCUGGACAAAGACAGACGCUCAGGUGCGAAAGCGUGGGGAGCAAACAGGAUUAGAUACCCGGGUAGUC
RNAcentral lists this ribosomal RNA (465 nucleotides) under uncultured Klebsiella sp. RNAcentral's name for it is "bacterial SSU rRNA". It matches the Rfam family "Bacterial small subunit ribosomal RNA", at positions 338 to 795 of the family's 1533-position model. Lineage: Bacteria; Pseudomonadati; Pseudomonadota; Gammaproteobacteria; Enterobacterales; Enterobacteriaceae. The record is from RNAcentral.